GCCAGGAGAUCAAGAGAAGAAGGGGAAACCCUUUUUUACUUCUAAAAGUCAGCAAUUAAAGGAAGAAAUUGAAGCUAAUCACCUGCAUGUUCACCCCAACCUAACCAUCUUAGCAUUCUUAACAUAAGGGAUUAAAGAAGAAAGCUCAAGUCAUUCCGGAACGCAAACAAACCACAACAAAGAUGAGAAUGGUCGAACUCUUGGCAUGAUAAAACUAGUAGAGUUGGUGAAAAGAUGCACAUGAACGGAAGCUCAUCACAUGGAUGGACGAGGUCAAUCUAGUUUUUGACACGCGCUCCCGAAGGGGGUGGGCUGAAUCGGGACACGAAUCGUUGUUCAUGUAAAUAAUAAGGUUAGUAAAGUAUUUGACUUAUGAAUGUUAAAUAGAAAGUUACGGACGGAAUAAUGUUUCCAUACGAAUAAAUGUCAACACAAGUAUGACGUGGUUGGAAGGUUUGACCUUUAGAGGUCAAGAAAAGAACGAAAUUCUUAGUUCAAACUCUAUGUCAUUAAUCAAGGCGUAGGCGUGCAUAGCAAGUAAUAAAAAAAGAGAGAAAUGAACGGACAAAUCAUGGUGACCUGAAUGAAAUUAUACGGAGAUUAACCUAGGAAUGUACUUUAUAUCAUGUAACAGUAACAAACCUAAAACAACGUUAAACUCUUGAGACAAGUACGAAUGACUAAGAAGGAAAUAAUGGUUGGGUUGUGAUAACUAUAUCAAUGAUGAAAUGUUUAAGAGAAGUUAGGAUGUGAGAUUGUAUGAAAGACUUGACAUAUAUGAAUGAAAUAUGAUAAUGAUAUAAUUAGUAGUAAACGAACUUGAAGAAUGUGCUAUAAAUGGAACUCGUACAAGAAUUCGGGUUAAAUGUAUGUUUGGAAAGGAUUAAGCGUUAGGGGGUUGUACAUUGUACUUGAAUGAGUGAUACUCGUCAUGUAUUAUAAUAAUUACUUAAUUUGCAAUUAAGAAGUGAAUAUGUGCUAAAAGUAAAACAGAUGAAUUUGCUAGUAAAUGAUAAAUGUUAUGAUUAUG
Long non-coding RNA from Helianthus annuus (common sunflower), 1030 nucleotides. RefSeq lists it as uncharacterized. The record is from RefSeq and is a predicted model, not a curated record. Lineage: Eukaryota; Viridiplantae; Streptophyta; Magnoliopsida; Asterales; Asteraceae. The transcript has 3 exons.